AGACCCGAAACCCGGUGAUCUAGCCAUGGGCAGGUUGAAGGUUGGGUAACACUAACUGGAGGACCGAACCGACUAAUGUUGAAAAAUUAGCGGAUGACCUGUGGCUGGGGGUGAAAGGCCAAUCAAACCGGGAGAUAGCUGGUUCUCCCCGAAAGCUAUUUAGGUAGCGCCUCGUGAAUUCAUCUCCGGGGGUAGAGCACUGUUUCGGCUAGGGGGCCAUCCCGGCUUACCAACCCGAUGCAAACUGCGAAUACCGGAGAAUGUUAUCACGGGAGACACACGGCGGGUGCUAACGUCCGUCGUGAAGAGGGAAACAACCCAGACCGCCAGCUAAGGUCCCAAAGUCAUGGUUAAGUGGGAAACGAUGUGGGAAGGCCCAGACAGCCAGGAUGUUGGCUUAGAAGCAGCCAUCAUUUAAAGAAAGCGUAAUAGCUCACUGGUCGAGUCGGCCUGCGCGGAAGAUGUAACGGGGCUAAACCAUGCACCGAAGCUGCGGCAGCGACACUGUGUGUUGUUGGGUAGGGGAGCGUUCUGUAAGCCUGUGAAGGUGUGUCGUGAGGCAUGCUGGAGGUAUCAGAAGUGCGAAUGCUGACAUAAGUAACGAUAAAGCGGGUGAAAAGCCCGCUCGCCGGAAGACCAAGGGUUCCUGUCCAACGUUAAUCGGGGCAGGGUGAGUCGACCCCUAAGGCGAGGCCGAAAGGCGUAGUCGAUGGGAAACGGGUUAAUAUUCCCGUACUUGGUGUUACUGCGAAGGGGGGACGGAGAAGGCUAUGUUGGCCGGGCGACGGUUGUCCCGGUUUAAGCGUGUAGGUGUGUGUUCCAGGUAAAUCCGGUUCACUUUAACACUGAGGCGUGACGACGAGGCACUACGGUGCUGAAGCAACAAAUGCCCUGCUUCCAGGAAAAGCCUCUAAGCAUCAGGUAACAUCAAAUCGUACCCCAAACCGACACAGGUGGUCAGGUAGAGAAUACCAAGGCGCUUGAGAGAACUCGGGUGAAGGAACUAGGCAAAAUGGUGCCGUAACUUCGGGAGAAGGCACGCUGACACGUAGGUGAAGUGAUUUACUCAUGGAGCUGAAGUCAGUCGAAGAUACCAGCUGGCUGCAACUGUUUAUUAAAAACACAGCACUGUGCAAACACGAAAGUGGACGUAUACGGUGUGACGCCUGCCCGGUGCCGGAAGGUUAAUUGAUGGGGUCAGCGCAAGCGAAGCUCCUGAUCGAAGCCCCGGUAAACGGCGGCCGUAACUAUAACGGUCCUAAGGUAGCGAAAUUCCUUGUCGGGUAAGUUCCGACCUGCACGAAUGGCGUAAUGAUGGCCAGGCUGUCUCCACCCGAGACUCAGUGAAAUUGAACUCGCUGUGAAGAUGCAGUGUACCCGCGGCAAGACGGAAAGACCCCGUGAACCUUUACUAUAGCUUGACACUGAACAUUGAGCCUUGAUGUGUAGGAUAGGUGGGAGGCUUUGAAGUGUGGACGCCAGUCUGCAUGGAGCCGACCUUGAAAUACCACCCUUUAAUGUUUGAUGUUCUAACGUGGACCCGUUACCCGGGUUGCGGACAGUGUCUGGUGGGUAGUUUGACUGGGGCGGUCUCCUCCUAAAGAGUAACGGAGGAGCACGAAGGUUGG
This 1628-nucleotide ribosomal RNA is filed under the name Salmonella enterica. Its description in RNAcentral is "partial 23S ribosomal RNA". It matches the Rfam family "Bacterial large subunit ribosomal RNA", at positions 711 to 2320 of the family's 2925-position model. Lineage: Bacteria; Pseudomonadati; Pseudomonadota; Gammaproteobacteria; Enterobacterales; Enterobacteriaceae. The record is from RNAcentral.